GUAGGGUGGCCGAGUAGGUGGCAAGCUGUAGCCUUGCUUACGGGGCUCCGCCCCCCCCA
RNAcentral lists this transfer RNA (59 nucleotides) under Cyrtodactylus bobrovi (Bobrovs bent-toed gecko). RNAcentral describes it as "partial tRNA-Tyr". Lineage: Eukaryota; Metazoa; Chordata; Lepidosauria; Squamata; Gekkonidae. The record is from RNAcentral.